RNAcentral lists this small RNA (781 nucleotides) under Pongo abelii (Sumatran orangutan). Its description in RNAcentral is "processed transcript". Lineage: Eukaryota; Metazoa; Chordata; Mammalia; Primates; Hominidae. The record is from RNAcentral.
CCGCCCCUACCAGCCCCCUCCCCGGGCCGGGCGCCGGACGGUGGGCGGCUGCGAGCGGGCGGGCAGGCUGCGGAGGACGCGCCGCCUGCGCCUCCCUCCCUGCGUGCCUCGCCCCGGGCGUCCCGGGGCUGCCGCGGUGCGCGGGUGCCGGGCCCUGCCUCGCCGGCCAUGGGGGAAGGGGGCGCCGUGGGGCGCCGCCGGCCCUUCCCCGGGGCGCCGCGGCGGCGCUGGUGGCGGCGGCAGCAGCAGCAGCAGCGGCAGCGGCAGCGGUGGUGGCCGGGCCGCGGCGGCGGCGGCGAGGGCGCGGGGCGCGCCACCAUGGGCCUGGCCGGGCUGCAGGAGAACGUAUUUACCGGGCAGUCAAAGAUCUAUUCCUACAUGAGCCCGAACAAAUGCUCUGGAAUGCGUUUCCCCCUUCAGGAAGAGAACUCAGUUGCACAUCACGAAGUCAAAUGCCAGGGGAAACCAUUAGCCGGAAUCUACAGGAAACGAGAAGAGAAAAGAAAUGCUGGGAACGCAGUACGGAGUGCCGUGAAGUCCGAGGAACAGAAGAUCAAAGACGCCAGGAGAGGUCCCCUGGCACCUUUUCCAAACCAAAAAUCUGAAGCAGCAGAACCUCCAAAAACUCCACCCUCAUCUUGUGAUUCCACCAAUGCAGCCAUCGCCAAGCAAGCCCUGAAAAAGCCCAUCAAGGGCAAACAGGCCCCCCGAAAAAAAGCUCAAGGAAAAACGCAACAGAAUCGCAAACUUACGGAUUUCUACCCUGUCCGAAGGAGCUCCA